RNAcentral lists this unclassified non-coding RNA (271 nucleotides) under Hevea brasiliensis (rubber tree). Lineage: Eukaryota; Viridiplantae; Streptophyta; Magnoliopsida; Malpighiales; Euphorbiaceae. The record is from RNAcentral.
UGUGUCGUGCUGGCCAUGCCUUUCCUUUAAGUAAGGAUCACGUUGCAAGUUGUCUUGAGGAAAGGGAGCGUGUUAUUAGUGCAGGGGGACAGGUUAAAUGGCAAGUUGAUACUUGGAGGGUUGGUCCUGCUGCGCUCCAGGUCACUCGCUCCAUUGGUGAUGACGAUUUGAAGCCUGCUGUAACUGCAGAACCUGAGAUAACUGAAACCACUUUGUCAGCAGAGGAUGAAUUUUUGGUGAUGGCUAGUGAUGGACUUUGGGAUGUCGUGAG